UACGUAGGGGGCUAGCGUUGUCCGGAUUUAUUGGGCGUAAAGAGCGUGUAGGCGGCCAGGUAGGUCGGUUGUGAAAACUGGGGGCUCAACCUUCAGAGGUCGACCGAAACCAUCUGGCUAGAGUCCGGGAGAGGAGAGUGGAAUUCCUGGUGUAGCGGUGAAAUGCGCAGAUAUCAGGAAGAACACCCGUGGCGAAAGCGGCUCUCUGGAACGGUACUGACGCUGAGACGCGAAAGCGUGGGGAGCGAACAGG
RNAcentral lists this ribosomal RNA (253 nucleotides) under uncultured bacterium. RNAcentral's name for it is "partial 16S ribosomal RNA". It matches the Rfam family "Bacterial small subunit ribosomal RNA", at positions 524 to 776 of the family's 1533-position model. The record is from RNAcentral.